This 650-nucleotide ribosomal RNA is filed under the name uncultured bacterium. RNAcentral's name for it is "bacterial SSU rRNA". It matches the Rfam family "Bacterial small subunit ribosomal RNA", at positions 1 to 645 of the family's 1533-position model. The record is from RNAcentral.
UCUGUUUGAUCCCGGCAGAGGAUGAACGCUAGCGGCAGGCUUAACACAUGCAAGUCGAGGGGCAGCGCGAGAGUAGCAAUACUUUUGGCGGCGACCGGCGCAAGGGUGCGUAACGCGUGAGCAACAUGCCCGUAUCAGGGGGAUAAGCGAUGGAAACGUCGUCUAAUACCGCAUAACAACUUAAGAGGCAUCUCUUGAGUUUGAAAGUUUCGAUGGAUACGGAUUGGCUCGCGAGACAUUAGCCAGUUGGCGGGGUAACGGCCCACCAAAGCGACGAUGUCUAGGGGUUCUGAGAGGAAGGUCCCCCACACUGGAACUGAGACACGGUCCAGACUCCUACGGGAGGCAGCAGUGAGGAAUAUUGGACAAUGGUCGGAGGACUGAUCCAGCCAUGCCGCGUGAAGGUAGAAGGUCCUAUGGAUUGUAAACUUCUUUUGUACGAGAGCAAUAAGUGUCACGUGUGACACGAUGAGAGUAUCGUACGAAUAAGCAUCGGCUAACUCCGUGCCAGCAGCCGCGGUAAUACGGAGGACGCAAGCGUUAUCCGGAUUUAUUGGGUUUAAAGGGGUGCGUAGGCGGGCCUGGUUAAGUCAGCGGUGAAACGCAGUGCUCAACACCUGACCCUGCCCGUUGAAACUGCCGGUCCUUGG